AAUAUCUGCCCUAUCAACUUUCGAUGGUUAGGAUAAAGGCCUACCAUGGGGUUGACGGGUAACGGGGAAUAAGGGUUCGAUUCCGGAGAGGGAGCCUGAGAAACGGCUACCACAUCCACGGAAGGCAGCAGGCGCGCAAAUUACCCAAUCCCGACACGGGGAGGUAGUGACAAUAAAUAACAAUAUAGGGCCCUUUUGGGUCUUAUAAUUGGAAUGAGUACAAUUUAAAUCCGUUAACGAGGAACAAUUGGAGGGCAAGUCUGGUGCCAGCAGCCGCGGUGAUUCCAGCUCCAAUAGCGUAUAUUAAAGUUGUUGCAGUUAAAAAGCUCGUAGUUGAACUUCAGACCUGACCGGGCGGUCCGCCUAACGGUGUGUACUGUCUGGCCGGGCCUUACCUCUUGGUGAGCCGGCAUGCCCUUCACUGGGUGUGUCGGGGAACCAGGACCUUUACCUUGAGAAAAUUAGAGUGUUCAAAGCAGGCUUACGCCGGAAUACAUUAGCAUGGAAUAAUAAAAUAGGACGUGCGGUUCUAUUUGGUGGUUUCUAGAGUCGCGUAAUGAUUAAUAGGGAU
This 571-nucleotide ribosomal RNA is filed under the name uncultured fungus. RNAcentral's name for it is "SSU rRNA". It matches the Rfam family "Eukaryotic small subunit ribosomal RNA", at positions 302 to 879 of the family's 1831-position model. The record is from RNAcentral. Lineage: Eukaryota; Fungi.